UAGCAUUAUAUGCUGAAUCCCUGAACAGGGAGCGGGAGAACCAAUAAAUUGGGGUGAAUCCGGAGGUAGUCUUCGGUAGGGUUAGCUCUUUCAAUCCGAAUCCGUCAGCUAAUUUCGCAAGCAUUAGGAAGAGAAAGU
RNAcentral lists this small RNA (138 nucleotides) under Peptoclostridium acidaminophilum. Its description in RNAcentral is "c-di-AMP sequence". It matches the Rfam family "c-di-AMP riboswitch aptamer (ydaO/yuaA leader)". From Rfam's summary of the family: This family represents a conserved RNA structure found upstream of the ydaO and yuaA genes in Bacillus subtilis and related genes in other bacteria. The record is from RNAcentral. Lineage: Bacteria; Bacillati; Bacillota; Clostridia; Peptostreptococcales; Peptoclostridiaceae. RNAcentral also lists the same sequence under 1 other name.